This 74-nucleotide transfer RNA is filed under the name Batrachuperus yenyuanensis (Yenyuan stream salamander). RNAcentral describes it as "tRNA-Asn". It matches the Rfam family "tRNA". From Rfam's summary of the family: Transfer RNA (tRNA) molecules are approximately 80 nucleotides in length. Lineage: Eukaryota; Metazoa; Chordata; Amphibia; Caudata; Hynobiidae. The record is from RNAcentral.
UAGAUUAAAGCUCGCUGGGAUUGAGCGUUUAGCUGUUAACUAAAAGGUCGUAGGAUAAAAGCUUUCUAAUCUAG